UACGGGGGGAGCAAGCGUUGUUCGGAUUUACUGGGCGUAAAGGGCGCGUAGGCGGCGUGACAAGUCACUUGUGAAAUCUCCGGGCUUAACCCGGAGCGGCCAAGUGAUACUGUCGUGCUAGAGUGCGGAAGGGGCUACUGGAAUUCUCGGUGUAGCGGUGAAAUGCGUAGAUAUCGAGAGGAACACCUGCGGCGAAGGCGGGUUGCUGGGCCGACACUGACGCUGAUGCGCGAAAGCCAGGGGAGCGAACAGG
RNAcentral lists this ribosomal RNA (253 nucleotides) under uncultured bacterium. Its description in RNAcentral is "partial 16S ribosomal RNA". It matches the Rfam family "Bacterial small subunit ribosomal RNA", at positions 524 to 776 of the family's 1533-position model. The record is from RNAcentral.